RNAcentral lists this long non-coding RNA (239 nucleotides) under Mytilus galloprovincialis (Mediterranean mussel). Lineage: Eukaryota; Metazoa; Mollusca; Bivalvia; Mytilida; Mytilidae. The record is from RNAcentral.
UUAUUUCUUAUGCAGCAGAAAUACUGCAAUCUGAUUGGUUAAUUACCCCGGUGUAAAUAACACCCUACUCUUGUUCACCCGGGGAUAAAUAAAAUUUUGCCAAAAAAAUAAAAAAAAUAAAAAAAUUUUGCUGAACAAAAAAAUAAAAUAAAAAAUAAAGUCCCCCCCCCCAAAAAAAAAAAAAAUUUGAGGAAAAAAUUUUAAAAAAUUUUAAAAAAUAUUUUUAAUUCCCCCCCCCC